GGAAACAGGUGCUAAUACCGCAUAACAGUUUAUGCCGCAUGGCAUAAGAGUGAAAGGCGCUUUCGGGUGUCGCUGAUGGAUGGACCCGCGGUGCAUUAGCUAGUUGGUGAGGUAACGGCUCACCAAGGCCACGAUGCAUAGCCGACCUGAGAGGGUGAUCGGCCACACUGGGACUGAGACACGGCCCAGACUCCUACGGGAGGCAGCAGUAGGGAAUCUUCGGCAAUGGACGAAAGUCUGACCGAGCAACGCCGCGUGAGUGAAGAAGGUUUUCGGAUCGUAAAACUCUGUUGUUAGAGAAGAACAAGGACGUUAGUAACUGAACGUCUCCUGACGGUAUCUAACCAGAAAGCCACGGCUAACUACGUGCCAGCAGCCGCGGUAAUACGUAGGUGGCAAGCUUUGUCCGGAUUUAUUGGGCGUAAAGCGAGCGCAGGCGGUUUCUUAAGUCUGAUGUGAAAGCCCCCGGCUCAACCGGGGAGGGUCAUUGGAAUCUGGGAGACUUGAGUGCAGAAGAGGAGAGUGGAAUUCCAUGUGUAGCGGUGAAAUGCGUAGAUAUAUGGAGGAUCACCAGUGGCGAAGGCGGCUCUCUGGUCUGUAACUGACGCUGAGGCUCGAAAGCGUGGGGA
RNAcentral lists this ribosomal RNA (629 nucleotides) under uncultured bacterium. RNAcentral describes it as "bacterial SSU rRNA". It matches the Rfam family "Bacterial small subunit ribosomal RNA", at positions 152 to 767 of the family's 1533-position model. The record is from RNAcentral.